Molecule: long non-coding RNA, 371 nt
Organism: Pezoporus flaviventris
Lineage: Eukaryota; Metazoa; Chordata; Aves; Psittaciformes; Psittacidae
Exons: 3
Source: RefSeq, a predicted model, not a curated record
AGACUGCAGAGAGCUGUCUGGGAUUUGCAGCCCUGUACAGCCUGCAAAGGGAUUUCCAUUCACCUUUGGACUGAAAGUGAAGAUACUUUAUCUCAAAUAUGGGCAUCCUAUAGGUGUCUGGAGCCAUGGACAUGCAAAUACUAAUGACCAAAGGUGAAAAAAAUAGUUAUCAUGUCUGAGAUAACAUAGCAGCUAAAUAACUGUAAAAGAAGAAGAAAUAUAAAUUGAUGAGGGGAAAAUUAUGUGUCUUUGUAAACACUGGAGAAUUGAAAUCUUGAUUACCAACUUCCAUUUCUUGUUCUGGACUCAAUGGAAAGAUUUUCUGAGAAACACCUCCCUUUUCUGAAGAAGACAGCCGCUGAACACCAUAC